Molecule: ribosomal RNA, 503 nt
Filed under: uncultured bacterium
Lineage: Bacteria
Description: bacterial SSU rRNA
Rfam family: Bacterial small subunit ribosomal RNA
Source: RNAcentral
AGAGUUUGAUCAUGGCUCAGAUUGAACGCUGGCGGAAUGCUUUACACAUGCAAGUCGAACGGCAGCACGGGGGCAACCCUGGUGGCGAGUGGCGAACGGGUGAGUAAUACAUCGGAACGUGCCCAGUCUGGGGGAUAACAUAGCGAAAGCUACGCUAAUACCGCAUACGAUCUACGGAUGAAAGCGGGGGAUCGCAAGACCUCGCGCGAUUGGAGCGGCCGAUGGCAGAUUAGGUAGUUGGUGGGGUAAAGGCUCACCAAGCCGACGAUCUGUAGCUGGUCUGAGAGGACGACCAGCCACACUGGGACUGAGACACGGCCCAGACUCCUACGGGAGGCAGCAGUGGGGAAUUUUGGACAAUGGGCGCAAGCCUGAUCCAGCCAUUCCGCGUGCAGGAUGAAGGCCUUCGGGUUGUAAACUGCUUUUGUACGGAACGAAACGGCCUUUUCUAAUACAAGAGGCUAAUGACGGUACCGUAAGAAUAAGCACCGGCUAACUACGUG